RNAcentral lists this ribosomal RNA (252 nucleotides) under uncultured bacterium. RNAcentral describes it as "partial 16S ribosomal RNA". It matches the Rfam family "Bacterial small subunit ribosomal RNA", at positions 524 to 776 of the family's 1533-position model. The record is from RNAcentral.
UACAGAGGUCUCAAGCGUUGUUCGGAUUCAUUGGGCGUAAGGGGGCGUAGGCGGCGCGGUAAGGCGGGUGUGAAAUCUCGGAGCUUAACUCCGAAACUGCAUUCGAUACUGCCGUGCUUGAGGACUGGAGAGGAGACUGGAAUUUACGGUGUAGCGGUGAAAUGCGUAGAUAUCGUAAGGAAGACCAGUGGCGAAGGCGGGUCUCUGGACAGUUCCUGACGCUGAGGCACGAAGGUCAGGGGAGCAAACGGG